AAACAACGCUCUGGUAUCACCCGGCGCACCCUCCUUUUUCAUUCACACGCUAGUCAGUCACUCGGACAAACACGAACGUACUACGAACAUCGCCGGCAAAGGACAACUAUGGCGGAAGAAGCAAAACAAUGGCCAGAUUUGGUUGGCAAGCCAGCCGAAGAAGCAAAAACAACUAUUUUAGCUGAAAAUCCGAAGUUGACAGUGGAGAUCCUGGACGAAAAAGCAAUAGUAACCAUGGACUACCGAACAGACAGAGUACGCAUCUUCAAGAACGCAGACGGGAAUGUAGCAUCCGCGCCCAAAACGGGAUAGCGUCCUCGGAACUAUUUUCAUUAGUUUUGUUAUCCGAGGAGUUUAACAUCAGGCCCGUCGACUCUUUACUGUCAUAAAUACCACGUUGGUGGUAUGUUCCAGUAUCUAUACCAGUCAAGAUCCCCAGCAACAAAACUCAUGACCUCAUGUUUAGUAAUUUUCUAUUUCCACACCUAGCAAAAUGGUUGGUUGUGAGCUAGAAAAACAAAAUAACAACACGACCACACGUUUAAUAUGUUUCUAUUUCAAACCUAGCAACAUUAUUGGUUGUGAGUGGUGAGCGAGUAUGAAUACCAAGCAGCAAUGACGACUGGUGUUAUGCUUUCCUUUUAGUAUAAUAAAUACGUUAUUGCUUUA
Molecule: long non-coding RNA, 669 nt
Organism: Gigantopelta aegis
Lineage: Eukaryota; Metazoa; Mollusca; Gastropoda; Neomphalida; Peltospiridae
Exons: 3
Source: RefSeq, a predicted model, not a curated record